Molecule: ribosomal RNA, 1420 nt
Filed under: Triticum aestivum (bread wheat)
Lineage: Eukaryota; Viridiplantae; Streptophyta; Magnoliopsida; Poales; Poaceae
Description: partial small subunit ribosomal RNA
Source: RNAcentral
UCACGGGAGCUCGCUCUUGGAGAGAGUGCGUGUUGAGCUAGGGAUCGAGCAGAGGGGAAGAGGCGGUGGCGGCGGGCGGGCGGGCGUAGGGUGGGGAAAGGAAGCACAGGACGGGUGGAGGAGGGGAUGGUGACGAGGAGGCGAGGCCGGGCCUGGUAGGAGUACGAAGGCGCCGACAUCAGCGGACGAGAGGUCUGGAACCUCGUGGCGCCUGCACGAUGUUGGUACAACCCCUACUCCGCCUCAUACAGCGCCGCCGCCGCUGCUCGUGGCGCUUGCGCGAUGGAGGAGGCGAAGCCGGGGAGGUGUGGUAGACGGCGGAGGCGGCUGGAAUCACCCGUACGGGACCAGCUCGGGGGGGUUUCAGCCUACUGCCGCGACUCCUCUAGUGCAUUGGGGUCCCGUCCCGCAUCGCUGGCCGCUCCUCGCGGAGUUCCCGCACCGGGGGCUAAGCACCCAGCUGUCGCACCUCCGUUAGCACACACCUGUCCUAUACCGCCACAACGCCGUUCGCUCCUCGCGGUGACGGCAAGCGUGUUCUAGGCGGCAGAGUAGAGACGCUAAACUGGCGGCAGCCGCCAGACGCUAGGUGACAAGUGUAGGCUUGAACGGUCUCGGCGCCACGGGGUACUUGGUGGGCGGAGUUGGUAAAACAAAGGGAAACUACCAUCACUGCUGCUGCCGGUUCUACACCAUCAAGAGACGUACGUCACACCACCGUACCAUCUCUCCCCUUCGUCUACCUUUUGACCGUCGCCGAGAUAGACGUCCCCUAUGGCGUUUCUUGUGCUCGUUUUGUAACUAUCCUCCACUACUCCUGAUACUGGCUUCCGUACAUAUUAUGGAUGUUACUUGACAGUUCCGUACAGAUUAGAUUUGACUUUAUAUACAUUCUGUGUCUUUCGUUCGUUUGUCGGCAGUUCCGUUGCUCGUACGGUACACCACGCACCUCGAUACGGAACACGCAGGACCUGUUUUAGCUGUCAUACGAUUAUAGUGAUGUUGGGUUCGGAUUAGGCAGAUAGACUUAAGUCUAUAUGCUUUCCGUGUUCUUCAUUCAUUUGUUGACAUUCCGUACAAGCACCUCCGGUACACCUCCCUACCGAACACGUCGACCCUCGCUUAACUACGCGCCCUUUUUAACCACUAACUUCCCACCCCACCGAAGGUAUCAAAAGAACAUCAAUAAACAUCACAACAGUGACUCAGCCGGUACUAAGGUAUAAAAUUCAUAUCAACCUGUCAACGUUGAUAAAAAGAAGUAGUGUAGCCUAUGAGCCUUUACAAAAACGAACUUCUCUACUUCAUACGGAAAACAAGUCAGGAUACCUCAAGUGUUUAACUAGGUGUCGAUGCGCUAAAUCUUUGAGUUUCCUCGUAGUUCCAGCUUCUUAAAGAACCUCUACCGAUAUAAGGGAUC